GUGGGGAAUCUUCCACAAUGGACGAAAGUCUGAUGGAGCAACGCCGCGUGAGUGAAGAAGGGUUUCGGCUCGUAAAGCUCUGUUGUCGGGGACGAAUGUGCAGUAUUUGAAUAAAGUAGUGCAAUGACGGUACCUGACGAGGAAGCCACGGCUAACUACGUGCCAGCAGCCGCGGUAAUACGUAGGUGGCAAGCGUUGUCCGGAAUUAUUGGGCGUAAAGGGAGCGCAGGCGGGAAGGUAAGUCGGUCUUAAAAGUGCGGGGCUCAACCCCGUGAUGGGAUCGAAACUAUCUUUCUUGAGUGCAGGAGAGGAAAGUGGAAUUCCUAGUGUAGCGGUGAAAUGCGUAGAUAUUAGGAGGAACACCAGUGGCGAAGGCGACUUUCUGGACUGUAACUGACGCUGAGGCUCGAAAGCCAGGGGAGCGAACGGGAUUAGAAACCCCUGUAGUCC
RNAcentral lists this ribosomal RNA (450 nucleotides) under uncultured bacterium. Its description in RNAcentral is "partial 16S ribosomal RNA". It matches the Rfam family "Bacterial small subunit ribosomal RNA", at positions 354 to 796 of the family's 1533-position model. The record is from RNAcentral.